UACGUAGGGGGCAAGCGUUGUCCGGAAUCAUUGGGCGUAAAGAGCGUGUAGGCGGCCAGAAAAGUCCGCUGUGAAAACUCGAGGCUCAACUUCGAGCUGUCGGUGGAAACUUUCUGGCUAGAGUCCGGAAGAGGAGAGUGGAAUUCCUGGUGUAGCGGUGAAAUGCGCAGAUAUCAGGAAGAACACCCGUGGCGAAAGCGGCUCUCUGGGACGGUACUGACGCUGAGACGCGAAAGCGUGGGGAGCGAACAGG
This 253-nucleotide ribosomal RNA is filed under the name uncultured bacterium. RNAcentral's name for it is "partial 16S ribosomal RNA". It matches the Rfam family "Bacterial small subunit ribosomal RNA", at positions 524 to 776 of the family's 1533-position model. The record is from RNAcentral.